GCUGGGCGUGGUGGCGGGUGCCUGUAGUCCCAGCUACUGGGAAGGCUGAGGCAGCAUAAUCGGCUGCUCGGGAAGCUGAGGGGGGAGAAUCGCUUGAACCUGGGAGGUGGAGGUUGCAGUGAGCCGAGAUCGCACCAUUGCAUUCCAGCCUGGUCAACAAGAGCGAAACUUCGUCUCAAAAAGAAAAAAAAAAAGGUUUGAGUAAUGAAAGAAGGAAUUUAUAAUUCUGUUAAGCAAUUUUCCAGUCUCUGCUGUCAGGCCUCUCAGCCGAAGCUCAACCAUUGUAACCCCUGUGACUUGCACAUAUGCGUCCAGAUGGCCUGCGGGAGCCAAGAAGUCUGGGGCAGCCAAAAACCCACAAAAGAAGUAAAACAGCCACUUCCUGCCUUAACUGAUUAACAAACAUUCCACCAUUGUGACUGGUCCCUGCCCUACCUUAACUGAUCAACCAUCCUUGUGACAUUCUUCUUCUGGACAAUAAGUCUUAUGAUCUCCCCAUCAUGUACCUUGUGACCCCCUCCCCUGCUAACAAUAGAUAACAACCACCUUUUACUGUAAUUUUCCAUUACCUACCUAAAUCCUAUAAAGCAACCCCUUCCCCAUCUCCCUUCAUUGAUUCUCUUUUCGGACUCAGCCCACUUGCACCCAAGUGAAUAAACAGCCUUGUUGCUCACACAAAGCCUGUUGGUGGUCUCUUCACACGGAUGCAUUUGACAUUUGGUGCUAUGACUUGGAUCGGGGGACCUUCCUUGGGAGAUCAAUCCCCUGUCCUCCCGCUCUUUGCUCCGUGAGGAAGAUCUACCUACGACCUCGGGUCCUCAGACCAGCCCAAGGAACAUCUCACCAAUUUUAAAUCGGUGACCCACUGGAAAUCAGACCGCCCAGCUCACCCGGCAGCCACUUCCAGAGCCCAGCCCCUAAAGCUCUGGCCCAAGGGUCUCUGACUGACUCCUUACCAGACCUGCUCAGCUUAGUGGCUGAAGACUGACGCUGCCCAAUCACCUUGGAAGCCCCCUGGACCAUCAUGGAUGCCAAGCUUCGGGUAACUUUCACAGUGGAGGACAGGAAUGUCAGGCCUCUGCGCCGAAGCUCAGCCAUUGUAACCCCUGUGACUUGCACAUAUGUGUCCAGAUGGCCUGCAGGAGCCAAGAAGUCUGGGGCAGCUGAAAAACCACAAAAGAAGUAAAACAGCCAGUUCCUGCCUUAACAGAUUAACCAACAUUCCACCAUUCCACCAUUGUGACUGGUCCCUGCCCUACCUUAAUGGAUCGAUUGACCUUGUGACAUUCUUCUUCUGGACAAUGAGUCUUAUGAUCUCCCUACCAUGUACCUUGUGACCCCCCUCCUCUGCUAACAAUAGAUAACCACCUUUUAGUGUAAUUUUCCAUUACCUACCCAACUCCUAUAGGGCAACCCCUUCCCCAUCUCCCUUCGCUGACUCUCUUUUCAGACUCAGCCCACUUGCACCCAAGUGAAUAAACAGCCUUGUUGCUCACACAAAGCCUGUUGGUGGCGUCUUCACACAGACAUGCGUGACAUCUGCUCACCCACCUCUAAUACUGCAGAUUGAACAGUUCCCUUUGGAAAGCCCUUCCUGAUGUUGAGCUAAAAUGUCUUCCUGUCAUGUCCAUUCAUUAGUAGAAUAAACAUUUUAUCCAAAUGAGGCUGAUUAAACCAGAGGUUUAUGCAAAGGUGUAUGCAUCAAAGAUAGUGAUUUCCUGAGUGGAAGAAUUAAAUACCAGCUAAGAGUGAUUACAUAAAGCAUGGACCUUUUAUCUCUAUAGAAAAAACGCUACCUGACAAUAUUUCAAGUUAGAAUUUUGCUUUUCUUUUUCUCAAGUCAGGGUCUCAUUCUGUCACACAGACUGGAGUGCAGUGGUGCGAUCAUGCUGGCUAAUUUUUAAAUUUUUUGUAGACAGGGUCUGCUAUGUUGCCCAGGUUGGUCUAGAGCUCCUGGGCUCAAGGGAUCCUCCUACCUUGGCCUCCCAAAGUGCUGGGAUUACAGGCAUGAGGCACCUCGCCCAGCCCAAAUUAGGAUUUUUCUGGAGUGUAUAUUAGCACUUUCCUGAAAGGCAGCAAAUGUUUCAAAAGUUCACACCCUUUAACUCAAUAAUUACACAUCUAGGAAUCUUAUUCUCUGAAAAUAGUAUAGCAUGGAAAACGUUUUUUGCACAAAUUUUUGUUUUUUUAACCACAGUGUUUCUUUUAAAAUGUUAUUAAAAGAAUAAAAACAACCAAAAAUGUUCCUCAGAAGCAAUAUGUAAAUUCUGAAUACCAGAUAAACUACUAGGCAAGCAUCUAAAAUAAAGUUUACAGAUUUUCUUAAAACAUGAUGAAAUACUUGUGUAUUCAAUGGAUAUUCCAAGGCUCAGCUUCUAUAAAAAAAAUCUAACUCUGAGUAAGGGGAUCCAUAACAG
Molecule: long non-coding RNA, 2417 nt
Filed under: Homo sapiens (human)
Lineage: Eukaryota; Metazoa; Chordata; Mammalia; Primates; Hominidae
Description: HSALNT0178672
Source: RNAcentral